CAACAACAAACCUUCUAAAGUUUGACUUGUAAUUUGACCAGAGAGACAUUCAUUCUCCAACUAUAAAAGAAUUUUUUAUAUGAAACCAGAAAACCUGCCGUUAUUCUGUCCUCUCAUGGCAAUUCUUUCAGGAGGAUCCACUGCUGCAUCUGUUGCUCCGGCCUUCUUCCAUCCUGACAUGUAGAGGCAGAGAUCAGGGAUGCCAAUCUCCUCUGGAGCAACAGGCCGAGUUGGGAUCGGAGUGGACACGUCGAUUGCUUGGGUGCCCAGUGGGGUCAAGCAGGGUUCGAGGCCCUCCUACACACAUUCUGAUUCUUAUCUGAAGAGAUACUUAGAAACCCAUCCUGAGGUCAGACACAGAUGUAUGGCCACUGGCUCAUGGAAGGCGAAUGAUCAUUUAUACAAUCCUGGACCUGAUGGUGACAACGUGAACAUGUACUCAUUGGAUUCUGGAAAAAAAACCUGCCAUACAUCACAAGCGCUGGACACAACUGCCUCCCAGAUACAAAGCGGGACGAGUGAUGGGGACUCUGUGGCCGCACCUGGUCUAUCCAGGAAAUCAUCAGUUUGUGCUAUUCUAUAAGUUUCUAUGCCUUUCAUCCAACAAAUCCUGUAUUUGCUCAUUUAAACUGAUCUAAUGUGUCAUGAUCUACAUUUGUAUUAUUACAUAGAUGCCCCAUGAACAAAUUAUUAUUCAGUAUUACAUAUACAACAAACAACAUCAGUACAAAAAUCCUUACAAGUAGUUAACCCACAGGUUAAGACAUUUGUCAUAAAUAUUUCUCAGGUUUCAACCCUUCCAGCCUGCUAUUGUAAAACUGUUAGAUGCACUUCUGUAGGGCAGACAGGAGAGGCUUCAAGCCAGUACAGAAGCGCAUCUAGCAUUGGGCCACACAAUUUCGCUCGUAUACUUCUGCUCGCUUGGUGGUCCCACCCACGAAAGGUAAAGCACGGAUGUUCUCGGUUCUGGCUCCGUUGUGGUGGAACGACCUCCCCCUCCCACUCAGAACUGCGGAAACUGUGUCUACAUUCAAGAAAGGUCUGAAAACUCACCUUUUCCAGACCCAUUUCGCCCAAGAUCUCUCCAGCUCAUGUACGGUGUAAAUGUUCAUGCACCGUAACUUCAUGAGCAUCACCAGAUAAAGCCUUUAUUCAGCCGCUACUCCGGCAUUGUUUUUGUUUGCUUGUGUAUCUUAUAACAUUACACACACACACACACAUUUUCAGAACCGCUUGUCCCAUACGGGGUCACGGGGAACCGGAGCCUACCCGGCAACACAGGGCGUAAGGCCGGAAGGGGAGGGGGACACACCCAGGACGGGACGCCAGUCCGCCGCAAGGCACCCCAAGCGGGACUUGAACCCCAGACCCACCAGAGAGCAGGACUGCGGCCCAACCCACUGCGCCACCGCGCCCCCGCGCCCCCGCUCUUAUAACAUUAUUUUAAAAAAAAAAUAAGAAUUUGGUUGGAGGGUAUCAGGAUUUGUCUAUCCUGUGUUUUAUGCACCUACCUGAACGAUGAACAUCGGUGCAGCAAGUGGUAGGUAACAAACUAGGUUUGCUUGAGACUUUCAUGUCUGCAGCUAUGUCUCUUUCUCUUAAUGUAAUGCAUAAAUUGUAUUUUUGCUGAGAUGUACGUCACUUUGGACAGAAGCGUCUGCUAAAUGAAUAAAUGUAAAUGUAUUUCAUACCA
This is a long non-coding RNA of Scleropages formosus (Asian bonytongue), 1693 nucleotides long. NCBI's taxonomy places the organism in Eukaryota, Metazoa, Chordata, Actinopteri, Osteoglossiformes, Osteoglossidae. The record is from Ensembl.